GCCAAGGGGGCUGUGCAGCGCGGAGCAGCCGGCCUGCGUGUGUUUUUUUGCUCACUGGAGCACAGCCACCUUCCUGAGGGAAUGGGGCUUUCGUCACACACUGUCCCCAGCCACUGAGCACCCAUGUCUGUGCCUUGCAGGUGCCUGAAAACCCGUUUGAGGGGCAACGUUGGGACACUGAAAUGGGAUGGCAGCCACAUCGAACUAUUUACAUAGCUCCAGACAUGCUGAAAGGACAGCCGAGGAGGGGCAUUUGUUAUGAUUACUUCAUUAAUGCUUUAUGAAAUCAAGAGAAAUCACAGCAAACGCGGAGCAGCCACGAACGCCCAAGGGCUGAGUCACUGACUUUUGUCAGUCUCCCACCAUGGAUAGCAGAGGGGAGGGAGAAUAGAAAGAAGAAACAGACAGAAAUUGCUUCAACACCAGCCAAAAGUUGCAUAAAAAGGCCCAAAUGUUAUGGAAUCUGAAACAAAAUCAAGCACAAACAAUUCCUGCCAAAUCUCCUUUGAAAUGCUGGAAAUCUGGAAGCGUUCAGUGCAGCUAAAUGGCAGCUUUCUAGCCUGGAUGCCAGUGGAGUGGUCAGGGCAAGAAUCUUGCUUUGCAGGUGGGAUGUCCAUGUUCUUGAUCCCAUCCAGGCAGCCAGGCCCUGCACCUCUUCCCUGCUGGGAGGACAUUUGCUUUGCAAAGAGACGAUGCCAAGGCUGUUGUUGAAAUGUGGAGGACUGAUCACCAACACGAGUCGGGGCCUGAGUCAAUCUGGUGAGCACACACUGGAGUGGUGCAGAGGACCUCUGCCUGCUUUCAGCCCUGGUUGUGUGAAGACCAAGCCUUAGAGUCCAGUUUUUCUAAGACCUUCCCAACCUGUGUGCCCAGGCUGCCAGCCCCUCCCAAAACGCACUGACAGAAAACAAAUCACUGCACACAGCUGUGCAGUUAACAACAUUGCUCUUAAUGAGUCCCUGAUACUGGUUCCCCAAACGUGGCUGUGCAUGCUUCUUCAGGGAGCUCUGUGGAGCAGUGCACAGUCCAAAGCCUUCUGAGAAGAGCAGAACGGGACCUCCAGGUUCUGAUUUGUGGUCUUUACGUGGCUUGUUGCAUCCAGGUCAGUGCUCUGAGAGCUGCUGAAAGCCAAAUACGCAGGUCACCCCACUGGCGUUUGAUAUUUCAACCUGUUGUGAGGAAACGUUUUGUUCUG
Molecule: long non-coding RNA, 1195 nt
Organism: Numida meleagris (helmeted guineafowl)
Lineage: Eukaryota; Metazoa; Chordata; Aves; Galliformes; Numididae
Exons: 5
Source: RefSeq, a predicted model, not a curated record